UACGUAGGGUGCGAGCGUUAAUCGGAAUUACUGGGCGUAAAGCGUGCGCAGGCGGUUAGUCAAGUCUGCUGUGAAAUCCCCGGGCUCAACCUGGGAAUUGCAGUGGUAACUGGCUCGCUGGAGUAUGGCAGAGGGGGGUGGAAUUCCGCGUGUAGCAGUGAAAUGCGUAGAGAUGCGGAGGAACACCGAUGGCGAAGGCAGCCCCCUGGGCCAAUACUGACGCUCAGGCACGAAAGCGUGGGGAGCAAACAGG
This 253-nucleotide ribosomal RNA is filed under the name uncultured bacterium. RNAcentral's name for it is "partial 16S ribosomal RNA". It matches the Rfam family "Bacterial small subunit ribosomal RNA", at positions 524 to 776 of the family's 1533-position model. The record is from RNAcentral.